UUNUAGAGUUUGAUCCUGGCUCAGAUUGAACGCUGGCGGCAGGCCUAACACAUGCAAGUCGAGCGGAUGAGAGGAGCUUGCUCCUCGAUUCAGCGGCGGACGGGUGAGUAAUGCCUAGGAAUCUGCCUAGUAGUGGGGGACAACGUUUCGAAAGGAACGCUAAUACCGCAUACGUCCUACGGGAGAAAGUGGGGGAUCUUCGGACCUCACGCUAUUAGAUGAGCCUAGGUCGGAUUAGCUAGUUGGUAGGGUAAAGGCCUACCAAGGCGACGAUCCGUAACUGGUCUGAGAGGAUGAUCAGUCACACUGGAACUGAGACACGGUCCAGACUCCUACGGGAGGCAGCAGUGGGGAAUAUUGGACAAUGGGCGAAAGCCUGAUCCAGCCAUGCCGCGUGUGUGAAGAAGGCCUUCGGGUCGUAAAGCACUUUAAGUUGGGAGGAAGGGCUUACCAGCGAAUACCCUGUGAGUUUGACC
RNAcentral lists this ribosomal RNA (476 nucleotides) under Ectopseudomonas oleovorans. Its description in RNAcentral is "bacterial SSU rRNA". It matches the Rfam family "Bacterial small subunit ribosomal RNA", at positions 1 to 474 of the family's 1533-position model. The record is from RNAcentral. Lineage: Bacteria; Pseudomonadati; Pseudomonadota; Gammaproteobacteria; Pseudomonadales; Pseudomonadaceae.